Molecule: ribosomal RNA, 495 nt
Filed under: uncultured bacterium
Lineage: Bacteria
Description: bacterial SSU rRNA
Rfam family: Bacterial small subunit ribosomal RNA
Source: RNAcentral
AUGAACGCUAGCGGCAGGCUAAUACAUGCAAGUUGAGGGCAGCAUGAUAUACGCGAGUAUACUGGAUGGCGACCGGCGGACGGGUGAGUAAUAGGUAGGAGACCUACCUCAGUACAGGGGGAUAGCAUUAGAGAAAUCUGUGGUAAUACCCCAUGAGGUUAUAUGAAAUAGAGGCAUAUAAUCAAAGCAUAAGCGAUUAUGCGGUAUGAGAGGGGCCUACUGACCAUUAGCUAGUUGGUGAGGUAAGGGCUCACCAAGGCGAAGAUGGUAGGGGUUUUGAGAGAGAGACCCCCCACAUUGGAACUGAGAGACGGUCCAGACUCCUACGGGAGGCAGCAGUAGGGAAUAUUGGGCAAUGGGCGAAAGCCUGACCCAGCCAUGCCGCGUGAAGGAAGACGGCCUUAUGGGUUGUAAACUUCUUUACUACGCGAAUAGAGGUUAGUACGAGAUACUAAUAGGAAGGUAGUGUAGUAAAAAGCACCGGCUAACUCCGUG